UGGGGAAUAUUGCACAAUGGGGGAAACCCUGAUGCAGCGACGCCGCGUGAGCGAAGAAGGUUUUCGAAUCGUAAAGCUCUGUCCUAUGGGAAGAUAAUGACGGUACCAUAGGAGGAAGCCCCGGCUAACUACGUGCCAGCAGCCGCGGUAAUACGUAGGUCCCGAGCGUUGUCCGGAUUUAUUGGGCGUAAAGCGAGCGCAGGCGGUUAGAAAAGUCUGAAGUGAAAGGCAGUGGCUCAACCAUUGUAGGCUUUGGAAACUGUUUAACUUGAGUGCAGAAGGGGAGAGUGGAAUUCCAUGUGUAGCGGUGAAAUGCGUAGAUAUAUGGAGGAACACCGGUGGCGAAAGCGGCUCUCUGGUCUGUAACUGACGCUGAGGCUCGAAAGCGUGGGGAGCGAACAGG
RNAcentral lists this ribosomal RNA (403 nucleotides) under Verrucomicrobiota bacterium. Its description in RNAcentral is "Verrucomicrobia bacterium partial 16S ribosomal RNA". It matches the Rfam family "Bacterial small subunit ribosomal RNA", at positions 355 to 776 of the family's 1533-position model. Lineage: Bacteria; Pseudomonadati; Verrucomicrobiota. The record is from RNAcentral.